Rhodocollybia butyracea is the source of this 93-nucleotide non-coding RNA. NCBI's taxonomy places the organism in Eukaryota, Fungi, Basidiomycota, Agaricomycetes, Agaricales, Omphalotaceae. The record is from the annotation of a GenBank genome assembly.
UCCGAUAUGGUGUAGUGGCUAACAUUAUCGCCUCUCAUCAACCUGAUUGGUAGUUUUGCGCGAUAGCCCGGGGUUCGAUUCCCCGUGUCGGAA